Molecule: long non-coding RNA, 959 nt
Filed under: Homo sapiens (human)
Lineage: Eukaryota; Metazoa; Chordata; Mammalia; Primates; Hominidae
Description: long non-coding RNA NONHSAT186005.1
Source: RNAcentral
AAAGUGCCAGAGGUGCCCAAGAAGCUCAUCCCAGAAGAAAAGAAACCAACACCUGUUCCGAAAAAAGUGGAAGCACCACCACCCAAAGUGCCAAAGAAACGUGAACCAGUUCCAGUUCCUGUAGCUCUACCUCAGGAAGAGGAAGUUCUAUUUGAAGAAGAAAUUGUUCCUGAAGAGGAAGUUCUACCUGAGGAAGAGGAAGUUCUACCUGAGGAAGAGGAAGUUCUACCUGAAGAAGAGGAAGUUCUACCUGAAGAAGAGGAAAUUCCACCUGAGGAAGAGGAAGUUCCUCCCGAAGAAGAAUAUGUACCUGAGGAAGAAGAAUUUGUACCUGAAGAAGAAGUCCUUCCAGAAGUUAAACCUAAGGUGCCAGUACCUGCACCAGUGCCUGAAGUGCCAAAGAAACCUGUACCAGAGAAGAAAGUCCCUGUUCCCGCCCCUAAAAAAGUGGAACCUCCACCACCACCCAAAGUGCCUGAAAUUAAGAAGAAAGUGACAGAGAAGAAAGUGGUCAUUCCCAAGAAAGAGGAGGCUCCCCCUGCCAAAGUGUCUGUGGUACCUAAGAAACCUGAGCCAGAAAAGAAGGUCCCUCCUCCUGGUCUUAAGAAAGCAGUGGCCCCUCCUGCCAAAGUUCCUGAGGUGCCUAAGAAGGUGGAAGAAAAACGAAUCAUUCUCCCUAAAGAAGAGGAAGUUCUACCAGUUGAAGUGACUGAGGAGCCUGAAGAAGAGCCUAUUUCAGAAGAAGAAAUCCCAGAAGAACCACCUAGCAUAGAGGAAGUUGAAGAGGUGGCACCACCUAGAGUGCCUGAAGUGAUUAAGAAAGCAGUACCUGAAGCACCUACUCCUGUUCCUAAAAAAGUGGAGGCACCACCAGCUAAAGUGUCAAAGAAAAUUCCUGAGGAAAAAGUACCUGUUCCUGUUCAGAAAAAAGAGGCACCCCCAGCCAAAGUGCCUGAAGU